UUGAGUGAGACAGAGGAGAGUGGAAUUUCGUGUGUAGGGGUGAAAUCCGGAGAUCUACGAAGGAACGCCAAAAGCGAAGGCAGCUCUCUGGGUCCCUGUCU
Solanum tuberosum (potato) is the source of this 101-nucleotide non-coding RNA. The record is from Rfam. Lineage: Eukaryota; Viridiplantae; Streptophyta; Magnoliopsida; Solanales; Solanaceae.